CGCCAGACUCCUACGGGAGGCAGCAGUGAGGAAUAUUGGUCAAUGGGCUUACGCCUGAACCAGCCAAGUCGCGUGAGGGAAGACUGCCCUAUGGGUUGUAAACCUCUUUUGUCAGGGAGCAAUUGGCGCUACGUGUAGCGUUAUCGAGAGUACCUGAAGAAAAAGCAUCGGCUAACUCCGUGCCAGCAGCCGCGGUAAUACGUAGGGGGCAAGCGUUAUCCGGAAUUACUGGGUGUAAAGGGAGAGUAGGCGGCAAGGUAAGCGAUAUGUGAAAGCCUUAAGCUUAACUUAAGGAUGGCAUAACGAACUAUCUAGCUAGAGUACAGGAGAGGAAAGCGGAAUUCCUAGUGUAGCGGUGAAAUGCGUAGAUAUUAGGAAGAACACCAGUGGCGAAGGCGGCUUUCUGGACUGAAACUGACGCUGAGGCUCGAAAGCGUGGGGAGCGAACAGGAUUAGAUACCCCGGUAU
RNAcentral lists this ribosomal RNA (468 nucleotides) under uncultured bacterium. RNAcentral describes it as "bacterial SSU rRNA". It matches the Rfam family "Bacterial small subunit ribosomal RNA", at positions 329 to 793 of the family's 1533-position model. The record is from RNAcentral.